UACGGAGGGGGCUAGCGUUGUUCGGAAUUACUGGGCGUAAAGCGCGUGUAGGCGGCUUUGCAAGUCGGGUGUGAAAGCCCUCAGCUUAACUGAGGAAGUGCGCCCGAAACUGCAGAGCUUGAGUACCGGAGAGGAUGGUGGAAUUCCCCAAGUAGAGGUGAAAUUCGUAGAUAUGGGGAGGAACACCGGUGGCGAAGGCGACCAUCUGGACGGAUACUGACGCUGAGGCGCGACAGCGUGGGGAGCAAACAGG
Molecule: ribosomal RNA, 253 nt
Filed under: uncultured bacterium
Lineage: Bacteria
Description: partial 16S ribosomal RNA
Rfam family: Bacterial small subunit ribosomal RNA
Source: RNAcentral